Mytilus californianus (California mussel) is the source of this 3594-nucleotide long non-coding RNA. RefSeq lists it as uncharacterized. The transcript is spliced from 4 exons. NCBI's taxonomy places the organism in Eukaryota, Metazoa, Mollusca, Bivalvia, Mytilida, Mytilidae. The record is from RefSeq and is a predicted model, not a curated record.
CAAGAGGUGUACACGUUCACAAGAAAACGGUAAACUCUGACCUUUUAUCACGUGACCAAUGUCUUGAACUUAGACGCCAUUAAAUCGUUUGCCGUUCAACUGAAUGUGUAUUCAAAUUUAUCAUGUGUAUUUAACACGUUCAUUGGUCGUGUUAAAAUAGAUUCUUCUUCUCGACCAAUGAAAAAAUUUGUUAUAUAAAUGGUCAAUAAACAUCAUUGGGCCACAAACUUGGAAAACACUUUCUCAAAGAAACAAGAUAUUGUACAGCUUGUAAUCGACUGUAGCCACUUCUGUGCAUUAUUCAAGAAGGAGAACAUUAUCAAUAUCCAUAAUCUUUCGGCAAGUCUAUGUUAUAAACUUAAUACACAUAGAAUCUGACUUUUAAAGUAAUAACUCAGAUAUAUAGGAUACAAGGAGAUGAUCAUAAACUGAUAUUGUAUAUAAUGUGGCUACUGAACAGUGCUUUGCCAAAUUUUUGUAUGUAUGUAUAUAGACAGAUAAACAGGGAGAGACAGGGUAUUUUUCCCGCUUAACUUAUACUGUAUAAAGUAUCCUUUUAGAUUUUAAGUUUAUUCCCGCUUAACUUUUACUGAAUAAAGGUAUCCUCUUAAGAUUUUAAAUUUAUUCGUACAUAUAAAUUUUUUAAUUAAUUUCCCCUAUUUAUACUGUUUAAAAGUGUCCUUUUAGAUUUUAAAUUUAUUAGUAUAAAUAAAUUUUUAAAUUGUGUGACACAUUUCAAUACACAUACACAGCUGUAUGUGGUGUUCCAUGAAUGGAAGGAUAUCCAUGCAAUAGAAGAAGAAGAAGAUCACACACAAGAUGCGUAAAUACAAUGUAUUUGCGAUCUCUUUCUUCAAUUUCUGCACUGAAGUUUUUAAAAUUUUUAAUUUUCUUCAAAAAAUAUCUAUCUUUUUGAUGAUCAUUUACGCUAUUAUCUGAUAACAUAGUCUGAUAAGGCUGAGAUAAGCGUGGCUCAGGUAAAACUAAUUAAAUUAAGUUAGCAAGUAAUUUUUGCACAUGGAUUGGACCUAUGCGGUAUGGACUUUGCUUGUUCAUUGUUGAAGGCCGUACAGUGACCUAUAGUUGUUAAUUUCUGUGUCAUUUGGUCUCUUGUGGAGAGUUGUCUCAUUGGCAAUCAUACCACAUCUUUUUUUAAGUUACAGGUCAAGUUUUAAUAUUGGUCCAGUCUGGUGAUUUUGUGCAGAGCUAUGGUCCUUGGUAUAUUGUUUACACCAUGACAAGUUAUAGAUCAAGUUAGAAUUUUGUUCCAAUACAAUGAAUUUUUAACAGUUUGUAACCAGUGGAGCUGCACUUUGGUGUCUACGAGGACUAUUGCCCACUAAACAGGAGACAACAUUAGGGAAGCUUUUUAAUGUGAUUGAGUUGCUGACCAGUGAAUCUUAUCAUGAAAACGAAUAGGAAUACAUUAUUGAAUCUACAAGUGAAGCUGUUUCAUUGGUGGAAAGAGAUUUCCCUAUUGCAUUACAGACUAUUACAACACAUCUACUUCAUCAUAUACCAGAAGGAUUUGCAAAUUUUGGUCCUCUUUAUGGGAGGUGGUUGUUUCCAUUUGAAAGAGUAAACAGUUGGAUAACCCGUCAAGCUUUAAAUAAAAACAAGAUUGAAGCAAUAAUCAUGGAGACUUAUGCUAUUUACGAUUGGUGUGUCUACAUGAUAAUGUCUGGAAAGGUCAAACAAGAUGAUAUUGACAUUGGUAAACUGGAGAGACUUCUUUUAGAAGAUGAAAAAGAUGACAGUUGUAGUACAAAUGAGAAAAAAUUCUCUAUUGAUGAUAACAUUUUGAGGGAAAUGGCCAAUAUUUAUGACUUUUGUUUGAUUUCAAGAAUGAGAAAGGAAGGCAAGGAACUUGCUUCAUGCACAAGAUCCUAUGGAAACACUAUAUAUGGAAACACUGGCAGGAAAAUCAAAUUUUCACCUUAUUCCAAUAACAAAUCUUCAAAUUCAUACGUGUAUGCUGUAGAUCAACAUUCAACUGAUUCAUUUCUUGACAGUAUGAUAUUUGGUUCAAUUUGUAAGAUUUUUGAGCAUGUUUAGAGAGGACAAACAUACACAUGGGUUUUACUGGAUAUAUUUGAUGAUGUUAGAUAUGAAGAUGGAUUCUGGAGUGUGUUAGAGAGUAAAACCUCACAGAAAGCUGUUAUGUUGAAAGAUGUCAGUGCUCCUCAGAUUGUUGGGAGAGAUAAUGAUCGACUUCAUUAUGUCAGUACAUGUAUCUAGCUUGUAAUUGAUCAGUUUUCUUUUCUUACUUUAUGUAUAUAGACAAUGUUUUAAAUUUCUCCAAAACUGCUGUUAAAAUUUUACUUCCUUGAUACCAAUGCGUAUUAAUGUUAAAUAAAAGCUCCUUUUCUUAAAAAUACCAUGAGAAUCUUUAUUUCAGACUGAAAAGGUCAAUAUAUUUACAUGAAAUAGAAUAUUCUGUCCAUAUUUACACAUAUAACUGUCUGAAUACUGUGAAUUCAGAAAUUAUUGCGUGCAUUUUUUUAUUGCGAUUUUGUCAUUUUAGACUAAUUUUAAUUUUUGCGAUAUUCAGAAAUUUCCUGUUUGAUUCAAAAAUAAAUUUUUAAAAUGCGAGUUUUAAUUAUUGCGAUGAUAACCCUGUCGCAUUUUUCGCAAUAAUAAAAACAUCGCAAUAAUUUCUGAAUAUACAGUAUUCAUGAUAUGUUUAGAUAUGAGUAGUUAUUUAUUUGUUAUUUUAUAUUGGAAUGUAAGGUUAAAGUGAUUAAAGGAAAAUCUCAAAUUCUUAAAGCUAUUUAGUAAGAUAGGUUUUUCUUGUAGUUAUCUUUAAUAAUUUUUUGUACAUGUGUAUUCCUUCUUACCCAUGAUACUUGGCCAGAAGUAUGGCUGUUUCUAUAGGAAAAUGGAAUACCACCAGAUUUCGUGUACAUAGAAUUUUUUUUUAUUCUAAGUCUUAAAGUCUCAGAGAAUUUUAACUAUUUGUCAGUACAAUCUGUACAUACAAUAUAUAUAUAUAUAAAUAAAUUUUAUUUUGAGUGUUGCUCAUCGAUUGAACCUGUACAUAAUUACAAAUAAAUUUAAGUGAUCUCUUAAAAAUGAAAUUAAUGCCCAGCCAAAACAAAGUAAAAGGAUAAGUAUAAAAUUUGGCAUACAGAUAAGGCUAACUUGUACUUAUUUUAAGUGAAUAAUGUCGUAACAUCUUUAUUUCUUAUUAUGUAUUUAGAAACAUUUUCAAACUCUAGCUCAUAUAUUUUAUACUUAUCAACAAAGUCACACACUUAUUAUUUUCUAUGAAGUUAAAAAAAAAAUUUGAAUUGAAAAACAAAAACAAAAAAAAUUUAUAGAUUUAUAACUAGUUAAUAUUUUUGACACAAUAAAUUUUGAAGUUCAACUUAUUCGUAAGGAAAAACGUGGUGUUUUUUUUUUGUAUUGCUGAGUUUAUAAAAGUGUAUCAUAUGAUCAUUGAUAAUAAUUAUUUCUUAAUUUGCCAGGGUAUUUUUACAUGUGACUGCACUAGUUUAUACAUUUGAUCUUGCUGUAUUGAAUUACUAGUCUUUCAGAUGUGUAAUUGUUACAUUUUGUUCAAAAAAUAUGAAUAAAACUAUUCUUGCACACAAA